This 422-nucleotide ribosomal RNA is filed under the name uncultured archaeon. Its description in RNAcentral is "partial 16S ribosomal RNA". It matches the Rfam family "Archaeal small subunit ribosomal RNA", at positions 323 to 746 of the family's 1478-position model. The record is from RNAcentral.
CUACGGGGGGCUGCAGUCGAGAAUCUUUUGCAAUGCACGCAAGUGUGACAAAGUGAGCCAGAGUGCUUUUCAAUUUGAAAAGCUUUUGCUAAAUGUAAAAAGUUUGGCGAAUAAGGACUGGGUAAGACGAGUGCCAGCCGCCGCGGUAAUACUCGCGGUCCAAGUCGCAGCCAUUUUUAUUGGGUCUAAAACAUCCGUAGCUUGCUUAAUAAGUUUCUUGUGAAAUCUCAUUUCUUAAAGGUGAGGCGUGCAAGAAAUACUGUUAAGCUAGAGACUGGAAGACGUAAGAAGUACGUUCAAAGUAAUGGUAAAAUAUGUUAAUCUUGGACGGACUCACAAUAGCGAAGGCAUCUUACGAGGACAGUUCUGACAGUAAGGGAUGAAGGCUAGGGGCGCAAAACGGAUUAGAUACCCCCGUAGUC